This is a long non-coding RNA of Canis lupus familiaris (dog), 2471 nucleotides long. RefSeq lists it as uncharacterized. The record is from RefSeq and is a predicted model, not a curated record. The transcript is spliced from 3 exons. NCBI's taxonomy places the organism in Eukaryota, Metazoa, Chordata, Mammalia, Carnivora, Canidae.
UUGAACAAAGGGGAGGCUGAGGGUGAGGUGAGGGCUUGGCCAGGGGACAGCUCCCUCCUCAUCCACUUCCUGUCCCCUACUCACAUGCACUCCGCUGGCUUGCUACAGUAGCCAUUCUGUUCAUGACAGCCAGAAAGACAGACAGCUGAGGAAAGAAAACAGAGCGGGGUGACAACCAGGGGCAGACUUGGAGUAGAAAGGAGAUCCCUGACAUCAAAUGAGGUCUAAGAGGAAGGCGAGGAAAAAGGAGAGCUGAAAGCAAACAGUGUAAGGGAAGAAAGCCAGGUGGAUCAUGGAAAGGAGGAAAACCUUGACUGUGAGGGCCUUUUGUGGGAAGGAGAUAGGACAAGGUUCUUGGCUGGAGAGAGAAGACUGGAGCUUCGGGAAUGGGUCUGGAGAAGAGAUGAAGGGUAGAAGAGCCAACUGCCCGUGGCCUUGGCCUUCCAGAGAUGACUCUCCUGCCAAGGAUCCCUCAGAGUGCAGAGGACUCAGAGAGGUGAGAAAAGAACGGGGCAAGAGAACAGAGACAUCAAGAGUCUACAGGCACCCCUCAGGCACCCUCGCUCACGGGGCAAGAGGACAAAGACACUGCUCCAAGUGAUGGGACUGAGACAGAACUUUUGGCCAACUUGAGCUGAAGGACUGAGGGCAGUUGGGCCCUCUGUCUCAGACCAGCUUCCCUAGCUGAGGUGUUUCUUCCUCUGUAGAAGCCUCCUCACUUACUUAUACUCUACCCUGGCUGGCUAGCCUCCACUGUGCUCUCCUCUUGUCCCUCCCCAGCAUCCAGGUCACUUGUUUCUGAAACUCUCUUUUCUGGAAACUUUGACAGGUGGGAAGCUCUCCGCGGCCCCACCCUUCCCUCAGGCCUCACUCCCCUCUUCUGGCUCAGGCCUUCGUUGGCAUCCAGGCUGGGCAUCCUCCCUGACCUCCGAGUGGCCCCAGGUGUCCUUCACCUUCCUCCUCCGAGCUGCAGCUCAUCUCUUGGAAGGAACUCUGACCUCUCCUCAUUUCUCCACAUAGCAUCUGAUCUCUGAUCCCUGCUGCCACCCAGGACUUGAAGUGAGCGAGAGAUAGGGGACGGGCCGCCCCAGGAACCUGGGAGUGGGGGCUACUCAGAUGGCUUCCCUGGGAGAAAGUGUCAGGCCUGAACCAGGAAGUGCUGUGUUUCAAAUACUCUCAUGUAGAAAGACCUCAGGGACAGGUGCCAGCUCUGAACAGCUACCUGAGCAGGCAGGGCACUGUUCCCUGGAGAAGGCUGAGGAGGAAUCUGACUGCCGUGGUCAAGUAGGUGAUGGGUCUUAAGCAAAGGAUGGUGACUGGCUGUCUCCUUCUCCCACCAUGGUCAGAAUGAGAGGAAAUGGGCUUCAAUUGUGGCAGGAAGGAUUUAGGUUAGACAUAUGGGAGAACUUCCUGUGACAGUGUCUAAGCUCUGUAUCCCAGUUGUUCAUCCAGAUUGAACUCUCCCCUGGAGUUGAUGAGAAUUGCAUGUUGAUGCUUGCUAAUGAGUAACUUGCCUUGCCUGUGAUUAGCAAAGAACCUCCAGCCCACAGAAUUUCUGUGUCCAGACUCUUCCCCAGGGAAGAAGUCCAGAGAGGCCUGGGAGGCACCAGGACCAGAGCCUCCUUUCAGCCCCAAGGAGUUUUCUGGACAAGCUUAGGCCACUUCCAGCCAAUGUCACUUUGCCUCUCCUGCCCCUAGCCCUCUGGCCACCACUCUCAGAAAAACAAGUCCUGUGGAGCUGUCCAGCUACAAGAACUUUGAGGUAAAGGGGCAGGCUGGAUUUAAGGUCUGGGAGCUCAGAGAGAAUUUCCGGAGCAAUGGUGAACACUCAGGAUCUCCAACACCAGGGGCUUCAGUAAAAGCCUCAGUUAACUCUAUAUAUUUAGAAACAGGCAGGCUGGGACACUCAUUGUGUCCACUCAUCCCAGUGUCUUGAGUCCUCCUUGGGCAGCAUGAAUACUCUUGUUGUUGGAGCAUUCUGCUGCCAAGAUUCCUGUGUCGCCUUGUGGCCAACUGCCCCCUCUCACUUCCCUUCCUUUCCUAAGUGGCUUGACCCCCUGCCCCUAUUACUGCAGCUCUUCUCCAGGUGGAGUGGAGGCUAGGGUGACCUAGGACAAAUCCAUCAAACUGACAGCAAAAGAAGAGGAUGCAGGCAAAAGAUGUGUGCACCCCAUGGCUAGCUUUCCUGGGGCCACAUGUGUAUGCUGAGUUUGGGUCCAUCAGUCAACCAACCGUGGAUGAGUUCUAGCGUGUGCCUGGCACUGGGCUAAGGUCAGUGAGGCCACUUCACUCCUGAUGCCGAUGGAAAAGAAAUGUGAUGACCUUUGGAACCAGGGUUCAGGGAGGGAGCGGGGGCUUCAAAGAUCCAAAGACGCUUUAUGGGAGAGGGGGAUUGCACUGAUCCUGGAUGGAAAAAAAAGAGUGGAACUUAGAGAAAGAGAGGGCAUUCCUGGCAGGGAGAAUGGAGAGAG